CCUUGUCAGUCAUUAUGGCAUCUUGGCCAAGAAUAAGUUUUUUUACUAAGCCUGAUCAAAAAUUGUUUUAUUAGAAACUCAGUCUCCAUAUGCUUUAGUAAUAAAUGUGAGUAUUCCUCCAGGAGAAAUAUCAGUUAAAAACUUGACAGUAUGCCUUCCCUUGUGUUGUGAGUAAGUCCUAAUUCUACAAAAUAAGCAUUUUGGUUUUUGAAUUUCCAUUUCUGUGCAAUCAAUUAUAUUAUGUGUGUUUUCAAACAACUUAAAACAAGUUGUCAUAUUUUUUGAAUAUUCUUCUUUAGAAGGCCAAGGAAUUGAAGACUUUAAAAUAGUCGUUGAGCAUGUAAUAGUUUCAUGAAAUAUAUCUUUACGUUUUUGGGAUGAAAUAGUUUGAAAUAAAA
This is a non-coding RNA of Cinara cedri, 398 nucleotides long. Lineage: Eukaryota; Metazoa; Arthropoda; Insecta; Hemiptera; Aphididae. The record is from the annotation of a GenBank genome assembly.